UCACGACUACGAUUUUCAAAUUGAUAAAAAUAAAUAAUGUCAAAGUUAUUUCAAUAGUAAAACAGGAAAUCCAAAGCUAUUCUGUAUUUCAAACUUCAGUGUAAAAUUUAAUUGAGUUGAAGUUUAUUCGUUAAUAUCUCUUCCAACUCUAAUUCUCUCUAUAAAAAUUUUUAGAAAAUUGUUUGAGCAUCCAUUUUAGUUUAUCCUGUACGGAUUUAUCAGGUGUUCAUAUUGCCCAAUAAAACAAUAUUCAAUAAUUUUUGGAGUGUCCAUUCACGACAAUCAACGAAUUAAAUUAUUUAUCAUUAUUCAAUGACAAAAUCAAGAGGAGACCGUACUACAUAUGAAAGAGAAAGCACGUGAGGAGGUGAUGAUGAGGUAUGAAAGAUUAGCGUCUUUCCCCGAUGAUAUUUCUCAACUUUUGUACGAAUUGAUGAUAGAUUAGAUAAAUAUCACAACUGAUACAUAGGCGUUAAGCGAAUGUCAAUAUUUGACAUUGUUUCCUGCUUGAACUAGUAAAAAAGAUGUUGAGAGAAAAAAAUAUGACCUCCAGAAGGUCCAAUUAGUGACAGGCUUCGACAUCGAUGUUGCGUGAUUCCUUUAGCGAUUUUUUUUAUAUUGUUUGAAUAUUCCCUUGGGCUCUCGUGUGAGCCUGUUGGACGAACAAUAACGUUGGGUUUUCGGUAACUUCACGAGUGGUUAAGAUUAUUGCAACCGCAGUGUGUACAAUUUUUCAAGGUUAAGUGAUGUGAAUUAUCAGGGGAGUGAAGCUGAAAAAAAAUAAAAAAAGCAAACAUUUUUCUUCACCUUAGAAUUCAUUUUUCAUAUUACUAUCAGCAAAUGCCUAAUCGCAUUCGUUACUUGCUGUAGUCAGAAAAAUUAAUAACUGAUGAGUAUAGAUUAAACAUUAAGAGAUCCAUUCGCUUAUUCUAGUUAAAUAAUUACUGAUAAAUUACGUAGAGUAUAACUCAAUCAAUUUUGUUUUUAGAAUAUUUUCAGUUUUCAGAUGACUCUCUCUUACUCCAAAUUUCGGAUACUCAAUCAUGACAACAUACCUGAGGUUAUAGUCAAUAUCUUCAGAAUUUACACUAUCCGGUAGUAUAAAUUUAACGAUUUGUUCACGGCCAUAUCACUCGUUGUGCACGGUCGCAGCGAUUAUCGGUAUUUUUUAUUUCAUUAGUUUAUCGUGGGUAAUAAUCUACAGUACUCGCUGCAGUGGACGAAAAAUAAUGAGAAGACGGUUAAAAUCAGGCGGCAGGUUCCUCCACUUCUCGCUGAUAAUCACCAACACAUUUUUGUUUUAAUGAGUUUAUCUCUUUUUCUCACUUUCACUCGAACGAAUUUCAAUCAGAAAAUUUGUGGAUGUGCCGUUCACCCAACUACUGCGGAUAUCGAAUUGCGAUCUCGUUCGUGAUGGAAACGUGGGAGUGCACUACUGCCUCUAAAUACUGGAAAUCUCGGAUCACAUGAGUCAUCCUUGUCGAACGUCAGGGGCGGUCAGGGCCGUAAGACCGAGGGAGGUAAAAGAAAGAGUCGUGCCCACGUGCAGAAUCAGCCAAUCGUCCAUACGAAUUCCAUCGAAUGGCAUCGGUGAGGUACAUCGCUUGUACUUAUAGUCCUCGCCACAAAAGAAUUAAUGACUUGUGUUCACUUUGACCGUUACACAGUAAAAAAAUAUCAACUUUUGUGGAAAAAGAAUCUAUCCAGUGACUUAUGGUGACUUAUGGCAUAGAAAAAUGUGAAAUUAAUAUAAGAUCAUCAUCAAAAUUGUGUGGCGAGAAUCAUUACUAAACUUUGGGCAAAUUGCAGCAAGUAGAAUUCAGAUUUUAUUAAGUUUAUAAUAGUUGAACAGAUUACACAUUUUUUUACUGCUCUUCAUGAAUCAUCCAUUGCUAGGCACAUUUUAUUAUGUACAAGGUAAUGAGGGUAAAUAUAUUAUUAAGAGCUCUCAAAUUUUAGAAAAUUAAAGGUCUCAAAAAUUAAUUGAAGGCUUCCAAUUAUUGUCUGUUUGUUAUAUUUAUCUUCAUCAUCUAUCCACCGUCAGAGACUUUUCUACUGUACGAUCACGAUUUAUAUCUAUCGAGCUCCCAAUUCUCUCGGAGUUGAAACAUUAAAAUUUAUCGAAAAUAUUGGAAAUAAAAAUAAGAAAGUUUUAAAUGUGUGUAAAAAUUAAUUUUUUCUCCCCCCAGAAGUUUUCUCCAUAUUUUGAUAUAAACCCGCCAGUUUUAGGAAUAACUGUCUCCUGUUUCCCGAUAAUCUUUCAUACCAAUACUAUGCUUUAAAAGAGCUUCAUAUUUUUGAGAACUGAAGAGUAUUCAAUACUGUUGUGAAAUAAUGAAAAGUAGUAUUAAAUUUUUGUAAUUAUAAUUGUAUGUUCCAUCGAAUGCCCAUUUUUGUCAUUCUAACAAGAAAUGUUGAACAAUCAAAUUGGGUUUAGCCGAGCCUCUUAUGAGAGAAUAAAUAAUUGCUAUCCUGUC
Molecule: long non-coding RNA, 2477 nt
Organism: Diachasma alloeum
Lineage: Eukaryota; Metazoa; Arthropoda; Insecta; Hymenoptera; Braconidae
Exons: 2
Source: RefSeq, a predicted model, not a curated record